GGCGGUGCAGGCUGUCUGGGUCCGGCCACGCGCUCCCCAGCCUGCUGUGCCCCGCCUGCACUGCGCACCCUGACUGGGGCUGCGAUGGAACCCAACCCGCCGCACUGAGCGCACCUCCAGCCCUGUUUAGUUUUUGAAUCAGGGGCUUACUAAGCUGCCCAGGUUGGGCUCGAAUUUGAGAUCCUCCUGCCUCAGCCUCCCAGAGUGCUGGGAUGACAGGACUGCAUCACCCCACUGGGCUGGGAGAGCUCCCCCCACGGUGACCUCCCUGGCCCGAGGUACCUGUGGCAUUGCCCAGGAUGGCCCGGAGGCUGAGGAUCUGUGCCAGGAAGAUUCCGAAGAUGACAGACACCUCGACCAUGGAACCCAGUGCGCCGCGUAGCUCCUUGGGGGCCAGCUCUCCCAGAAGAAACCCUGAAGUAACUGCUCGCCUGCUGACCAAGACCCAAAUUCUCGAGCGAUGCCUGGUAAAACCCUAUGGGUUUUCUGUGCGUAAAGUGUUUCUUUUUUUUUUUUUUUUUUUUGUGGUACCAGGGAUCCAACUCAUGACCUUGUACUUGCCAGGCAGGCGCUUAUGCCACUGAGCUAAAUCCCUAGCUGCUGUAAAAAUGUUUCUGAAGAGAAGAUUUUGUUAAAGGAAGGGAAGGGGCUGGAGAGCAAGAGGUUUGCAAGGCCCUGGGACAGAUUGAGGAGGAGGAGGAGGGGAAAUCUGCAGACAGGGACACUGGGGACCCCGGCCACGCCUGCCAGCCACGGAGGCAUCUCAGAGCCCUGGGCAUCCCGGGGUGCUGUGGCAGGUGGGGGCCUCUGUGACCCUGGGUACCUGCGCAGACUCCCACCAGCACCCGUGAGACGAUAAUCAGCUCGAACGCCCGGGCCACGCCGCUGACACCCAUCAGGAUGGCGGGGAUGAUGGCCAAGAUGCUGUUGAUCAGCAGGGCUCCCUUUCUGCAAGACAGGGCCAGGCCAGAGCAUGGUGCGGGCCCGGGAGGGGCUGGGCUCUGUCCCUCUGGUGCUCAGUGGGGUUCCAGGAGCUGCUUAGGAAACAGAACCAACUUCCUGCUCCCCUGAGCAGGUUCCACCUGCCUCCCCAGCUCCGGCAGGUGCAGCACGCAAAGUGCAAAGAUCCGGGCAGCGUUUGCAACGCAGGUUGGAGAGCAGACACGUGUCUGACCCCUCCUGACCCGAGCUCAGAGUUCCAGCUCAGAGCAGGCUGCCCCCACUGCUGGCUGGCCGGUCCCUGCACUCGGGGUGACCCCGUCAAAGACCUUUGGGACCAGCUGUGCCCAGGGCUGGGCAGGCAGGCCCUUGCUAAGUGCAGUGAGGACUCUGCUCUGCCGGUGACGGAGGGAUGCUGUUCUCAUGCCAUUGCCUGGGAGGGUGAUCCAGGGGGACCCCGGGGGUCAGGAUGUCUACAGCACGCUGGGAACUGUCAGGGCCCCCUUGAAGCUGUAUUGCCCAGAGAUUUGGCUUCGCUGACAGUCGGAUUUACCUGCCACACCGAUCCACCAGCAGGCCAACCCCAAGGGAUCCCAGCAGGCCGCCCAGGGGGAACAUGGACACCGUGCAGGACCACAGCAGCAGCAGCGUGUUCCCAUCCAGGGGCACUCCGUAGCGCUCGAAGUACCUGGAGAAGAGAGUAUCCCACCUGCCCCCAGCCGUUGCCCUCUGUGCCCACCUGGUGCGGCGUGUUGACCACAGCGAUGUUGUAGCCGUACUGGAAGCCGGAGCCCAGGGAGGAGCUCAGCGUUGCCAGCACCAGGGAAGGAAAACGGCUAUGAACAUUAAAAGUCAAUGAGUUACUGAGCAAAGAUGCCUCCUGUUCCAAUCAUCCCUACUGGAAAAUGGAUCGGAACAUGGUUGAAGACUCAGGAUGCAUGAAAAUCUUAAGCUGUGAGCAAAACAUGUGGUGAACGUUUAAAAAUUUUAAGCCAGGGGUGGUGGUGGGCAGCCGUGGUCCCAGCACUGGGGAGGCUGAGGCAGGAUUGAAGGGAGCUCAGACCAGCCUGCGCUGCACAGUGAAUUCAAGGCUGGCUGAACUGGAGCUGCCACCCAUCCGGCUCAGAGACUGAUCCAACACUCCUGCUGCUGACUGAGGCAGCUCCGGAGUCCACUUUCCCGAGUGUCUGGCUGCACUGGCGUGGCCACUUCCAUGCCCUGAAUGAGCUCUGAACACUUCCCCUUGGUGACCGGAAGUCACGCUGCACUGGAUCUGGAUAUCAGGCGAUCAGGACAUGGCGGGGUUUUAUUUUUGGUACUGGGGCUCAAACUCACCAGCUCACCUGCCUGCCCGUGCCCUUGCACCGCUGAGCUAAAUCCCUGGCCCCCAAAAGGGUGUUUCUACAACCUGCCUCCCCACAGGAGGGUGCUUGGCCACAGCAUAUCUGGUCAAACCUUGGGGACACUGGCACGUGGGGAAACAUGGAAACAACCCACGUGUCCAUCAUGAUGCAUAAAUAAAAUUUGAUGAAGUGUUUUAAAAAUGUAAACAUCCACCCUAUACUUUGAUCACAGUUUUGGCCAUGCCACCCCGAGGGGGCUGGUUGAGGCAGAUCUCAGAGGCUAAGCAAGGUCAGCAGGUCAGCAGGUCAGCAGGUGGGUGGGGACUCUGCCCUGUGCUCUGCUCACACCUGGAGCGCCCAGCUUCCCGGGAUCAGGUUCAGGCGCCUUUGCAUGGCCGAAGCUCUGCCAACCAGUGAGCUCUGCGCUGGUCACUAGAAGACCUCGACUGUGAGUCCCUCAGGACCAGCCGGGCCUGUGUUCUCUGGGCUGGGCCACAGCACCAUGUUCCGUGCCCUGCAUGGACAUUAUGUGUCCCCUGCCUUUCUGGAGUCCACACGCCAGUGAAGGCAAUGGAGAAGCCAUGACCUUCCAGUCCCUGCAUCUGCUCUGCCCAUCCUCAUGCCAGUUUCCAGGUGCCAGCCAGGCCACCAGCUUCGAGACCAGUGCAGAUGAGAGCUACGGGUGCAGCGCGGAGCCCUGGGUCCUCCAGCUGCAGGGAGCCUCACGCGGUCAGACCCAUGCCACGGGCCCCAGAAGGGUCUCCUAGGGGACUCGCUCCUGCACCUGCAGAGGUGAGGGAUCCCAUUGCGAACCACCUGCAGGAUGUGGUGCGGGUCCUGGCGUCCCCAGGGCCAGAGGCAGGAGUUACAAUGACAAAGGUGGAAAGGAGUGUGUCUCACAGGCUCAGCAGUGAGACAGGGGCUGAGGUGUCCUUCUACACUGUCCUCCCUGGCCAGGCCCCCGGCUGGAGGGUCCCCCUGCCUAGAUCACCUGCUCACGCGUGGUCCUGUCUAUGGAGCCACUGCUCGGUACACAGUGGUGUUUGCUGCCUGUUACAUUCCUAGCUCCCUGAGGUCAGGUCCUCACUCUGAGUGCUUCCUGCCCACCCCUAUGCAUUCCCAGCCCACCUGCGGUUCCCUGAUUUGGUGCCCACAGCCUCUCUGUCCUGACCUACACACUGCUGUCUGUCCUCCUGCUAUAUUUGGCUGAGGUCAUUUUCUGUAUUUUACUUGUGGCUUUGUCUUUGAGAUAAAAGCUUGGUGCAAAGUA
This is a long non-coding RNA of Cavia porcellus (domestic guinea pig), 3552 nucleotides long. RefSeq lists it as uncharacterized. The transcript is spliced from 5 exons. NCBI's taxonomy places the organism in Eukaryota, Metazoa, Chordata, Mammalia, Rodentia, Caviidae. The record is from RefSeq and is a predicted model, not a curated record.